GACGAACGCUGGCGGCGUGCUUAACACAUGCAAGUCGAACGGAAAGGCCCUGCUUGCAGGGUACUCGAGUGGCGAACGGGUGAGUAACACGUGGGUGACCUGCCCUGCACUUCGGGAUAAGCCUGGGAAACUGGGUCUAAUACCGGAUAGGAGCCAUUUUUAGUGUGAUGGUUGGAAAGUUUUUUCGGUGUAGGAUGAGCUCGCGGCCUAUCAGCUUGUUGGUGGGGUAAUGGCCUACCAAGGCGGCGACGGGUAGCCGGCCUGAGAGGGUGGACGGCCACAUUGGGACUGAGAUACGGCCCAGACUCCUACGGGAGGCAGCAGUGGGGAAUAUUGCACAAUGGGAGCAAGCCUGAUGCAGCGACGCCGCGUGGGGGAUGACGGCCUUAGGGUUGUAAACUCCGUUCGCUAGGGACGAAGCUUUUUGUGACGGUACCUAGAUAAGAAGCACCGGCCAACUACGUG
RNAcentral lists this ribosomal RNA (465 nucleotides) under uncultured bacterium. RNAcentral describes it as "partial 16S ribosomal RNA". It matches the Rfam family "Bacterial small subunit ribosomal RNA", at positions 28 to 507 of the family's 1533-position model. The record is from RNAcentral.